UACGGGGGGGGUAAGCGUUGUUCGGAUUCACUGGGCGUAAAGGGUGCGUAGGUGGUGGGGUAAGUCGGAUGUGAAAGCUCGGAGCUCAACUCCGAAAUGGCAUUGGAAACUACCCUGCUAGAGGAUUGGAGGGGGGACUGGAAUACUUGGUGUAGCAGUGAAAUGCGUAGAUAUCAAGUGGAACACCAGUGGCGAAGGCGAGUCCCUGGACAAUACCUGACACUGAGGCACGAAAGCUAGGGGAGCAAACAGG
RNAcentral lists this ribosomal RNA (253 nucleotides) under uncultured bacterium. Its description in RNAcentral is "partial 16S ribosomal RNA". It matches the Rfam family "Bacterial small subunit ribosomal RNA", at positions 524 to 776 of the family's 1533-position model. The record is from RNAcentral.